Numida meleagris (helmeted guineafowl) is the source of this 3016-nucleotide long non-coding RNA. RefSeq lists it as uncharacterized. The record is from RefSeq and is a predicted model, not a curated record. Lineage: Eukaryota; Metazoa; Chordata; Aves; Galliformes; Numididae. The transcript is spliced from 2 exons.
AAACGUUGUUUAGAGCACACUUUGCUUGUAUCAUUGAAAAACUUAAAAUAAUAAACUUAAAACUAUGUUAAAUAUGUAUCUUUAAUAAAAAACAAAGUUCUUUAACAAAUCAAUAGCCAGAUUGACACAAGAGCCUCUUGUCCCUCGCCCACUGCAGCUCCCAGACCUCCUGGAUGGGGUGCCAAGCAGUCAGGGUCGGGCCAUCACCUUUUCAUAGGAACCACAUCCAGCAGGAAGAGAGGAUGGGUCCAAAACGUAUGUUAAGUCCAGUUCUCCUGCACAGCAACACUCUCUCUUGCAAACGCCUGUCCCUUGGAUUUGAGCAGGAAAGAGCACUGCCAGAAGAGUGAUGUUCUCUCCUUCUGCCACACUCAGGCACAAGACACAGCUCUACCAGCCACAGAAGCAGAAGCUCUACUCUAGGUUUCCUUUCAGUCAGUGAAAGAAACUGAGGUCAGUAAAUAUUAAUUUUCUUUACAGCUUUCCAGCUCUAGCAAGUGCCAGUUCUCUCUGCCUCUUGGAGCUACCACACCAGAGAAUUGCAAGACUUUCCAUUUCUAUGCGUUCUUUGUGUGUACUUCACUUCUGUGUGUUACCCAUGUAGUUGUUUGAUGGUUUGCAAGCUGCUGUCAGGAGGUAAAGGAUACGCCAUGGACAUCAUAAAUCUGAGACAAUGGAUUUAAUUUGCUCUCUAGCGCUGCCUCUUUACCCCACUGGCACUUCCCAGAUGCUCUUUAGGCAAAGCCCAGGACAGCCUGAGGUUGAGCAGGAUGAAGGCAGGUACCUGGGCCACCUGUAGAAUACCCAUAGGUUACACUGAAGGCAGAACCACAUGUACUCUCUGACAUCAGCAAGCUUUCUUUUUCUGAUGCCAGAUGACCACAAGUGAAAGCCCUCAGCAGCUGCCAAGCCAGAGGCUGCCCCAGCCCCUGCCCAGCUGCCAUCCUGCUGCCUGCACAUGGCCUACGCAGCCUCCCUGGCACCCAGAGGAUGCCGUAGGCAUUUCAGCCUCCUGCCACAGUCCAGCACCACGCUUUGCCCUGUAGAACAAGUGACCAUGUGCCUUGGCUGUUCCUGGUUACCAACACAAACAAAAAGGAAAGACUGCUUCAUUCUCUCUGCCUCCCAUUACUAUAGGUGUUUGUGGGGUGUGUGCAGCUGUGUGAUCUGUGCCAGGCCUCCAGCCAUCUGUCUGAGGCACCUACAGACCAGAGCAUCGCAACAAUGCAAAACAUUCGUGCUGCCCUGAGAAGUGACCUGGACGCAGUCAGCAGGGCACCUCUGCAGAGGUAAGUGCUGACAGGGGGGAGGAAGCAGCAAGAGAACAGGAAGGUGAGUGCAGUCAGCAGGGCUGAAGCGCGUCCCCAGGCAGGUGCUGGACACAAAGGUGCCUGCAGCUCCCCAGGCACACAGCACUCAGCCCCAUGCUGUUUAGCAGCCCUUCUCUUGGAGAACCAAUUGAGCAAAGCACCCAGCAAAUGCGGAUAAUGGAAGGUAAAUGCUGACUUUGGGUUUGCUGCCUCAGCCAUAUGUUUUAAUUACCAGAUGCUGAUUACAAUUUAACCACCAGGCUAUGUCAGAGAUGCCUUGAAUUGUUUCCUUAUUUAAUUUGCAGGGGUUGAUGCAGCCGCAGCACAGACACUAAAGGAAAGAUAUCACAUCUAAAAGUUGUCCAAAAUCACAGAAAACUGGUUUAAUUUGCUCCAUGAUUGUUCCAGGUUUUGAAGAUACAUAUAUAUAUAUAUAUGUAAGAUGCUCAAGAUGAUUUUCCCCAACAGUUGUGCUCAUUUUAACUUCUGAAACCAAGUUUAAAUUUAAAAAAUGACUGCCAUAUAAAUAGCUGGAUCUUUUUUCCACCAGGGUGUUAAUGGAUUCAUGUCUAUGGCUCCUUGAUUUGCAGAGCUUUUAAGCAACCAGUAGAAAUGCUGAGAGAUUUAAUCGGAAAGUAAUGUUCACAUGGCUGGUGACAUAUGCUAAGAAUAUUUUUCAAUAUCCACAGCUUGCGUAAAAUAAAAAGAAGUCUCAGGUUACUGGUUUUUUUUUUGUUGUUGUUGUUUUGUUUGUUUGUUUCUGUUGUUUGUUUUUCUUUCUACGGGCAACGUCAGGAUCUUCGUUCAGUAGAAGCAGAAAUGAAAAAAAGAGCACAAAGAAGACUGAAGGGAAGACCUGACAUUAUUAAAAAGACUGCCAGGGAAAGAGAAUUUGUAAAUAUAGAAUUCUGGAAAAACAAAACCAAAACUGAACAGCCCUUCUGCCUUUGCAUAUGUCUGAGCCGCCUGCACAGAAAGAGCAUAAACCGGCAUUGUCCCUACCAUGACAUUUUUAGAGCGGUACUGCAGUCCUGAGUAGGUUCUCCAGUGUAGCAAGUUCAAGGAGAAAAGUGAAAAAGGCAGAUGGACAAAGUUCUCUGUGAAGCCACACUACCCAGGAGACAACAGUAAAAUACAUUCAGUAUUUGGAAGUGAACUGACUACAAGCACAUUCACAACGAAGAAGACUUACAUUUACUGUUUUUCAAAGCAGCCAAGAAGAAAAGUCACCUUCCCUUACUCUAUCUCCUUUAUUUGAAAAAUAAAACCCCAGGUAGUCAGAGUUGUAGCACACAAAGAAAACACUCAUCUGUAUCGUUUAAGAUUUCUGUAUCAUAUUAUCUCAGGUCGGCUUAAGGCUCGUAACACAAUAUUGGGUUUUAUUGUAAAUGUACCCAUUAGUACACCAGUUGAGUGUUAAAGCUUGUAUGCUUUGUGUAGUGAUAUUUUUUCUAAUAAGCAAAUUCCUGGUGUGAGACGGGAUGUGUCUAAUCCAUAACAAAGCUGAUGGAGAGACAAUGGACUUCAGCCAGCUCAGUUCUGUUUCAAGGAAAAAGGACAAUAACUGCAUUUGACAUUUAUAAGAAUCCAAUUUCCUCGUGCUAUACAAAUGGAGCUCAUUACCCUCCAGACUGCUGGUUCCACCAAUUAUUGUAACUGAUGUGCUGGGAUUUUUCCUUCUCUAUAUUAGUAUUUGAUGCACUCUA